This 468-nucleotide ribosomal RNA is filed under the name uncultured bacterium. Its description in RNAcentral is "bacterial SSU rRNA". It matches the Rfam family "Bacterial small subunit ribosomal RNA", at positions 917 to 1382 of the family's 1533-position model. The record is from RNAcentral.
GGGCUCACACAAGCGGUGGAGGAUGUGGCUUAAUUCGAGGCUACGCGAAGAACCUUAUCCUAGUCUUGACAUGCUUGGGAAUCUGCCUGAAAGGGCGGAGUGCCUUCGGGAACCCUUGCACAGGUGCUGCAUGGCUGUCGUCAGCUCGUGUCGUGAGAUGUCGGGUUAAGUCCCUUAACGAGCGAAACCCCUGUCUCUAGUUGCCAGCGAGUAAAGUCGGGGACUCUAGAGAGACUGCCGGUGUUAAACCGGAGGAAGGUGGGGAUGACGUCAAGUCCUCAUGGCCUUUAUGAUUAGGGCUGCACACGUCCUACAAUGCGUCGUACAAAGGGAAGCGAACCCGUGAGGGGAAGCAAACCUCAAAAAGCGGCGCUCAGUUCGGAUUGCAGGCUGCAACUCGCCUGCAUGAAGCUGGAAUCGCUAGUAAUCGCGGGUCAGCAUACCGCGGUGAAUGUGUUCCUGAGCCUU